GGGGGAACCUGCGGAAGGAUCAUUG
RNAcentral lists this ribosomal RNA (25 nucleotides) under Sarmentypnum exannulatum. Its description in RNAcentral is "partial 18S ribosomal RNA". Lineage: Eukaryota; Viridiplantae; Streptophyta; Bryopsida; Hypnales; Amblystegiaceae. The record is from RNAcentral.